Regulatory RNA element from Alligator mississippiensis (American alligator), 45 nucleotides. It matches the Rfam family "Histone 3' UTR stem-loop". From Rfam's summary of the family: The mRNAs of metazoan histone genes lack a poly-A tail. 3' end processing occurs at a site between a highly conserved stem-loop (modelled by this family) and a purine rich region around 20 nts downstream (the histone downstream element, or HDE). The record is from Rfam. NCBI's taxonomy places the organism in Eukaryota, Metazoa, Chordata, Crocodylia, Alligatoridae.
CCAACGGCUCUUUUAAGAGCCACCCACCCACUCGGGAAAGGAGCU